ACAGAAAGGCAAAGAAACAGACAAAUUUGAAAUUCAUGGCAACGAGCGGGGCAGCUACCGGCGACAUUUUCCGGCAAGAAAAAACAGCGGAAAGGCCGACAGCCACAAGAGAACAUAAAUGUCUCCGAAGCUAGUCGGAUUAACAUCUCGCAAAUUCUCGAACAGUUUCGCGCUUCCAACGAGCUAGUGUACACAUUUGAUGUCAACCUGACAAACCGUGAGCGUGCUGCAGUGCAUACAUUAUGUAGGAAAAUGGGUGUGAAGUCCAAAAGUUCUGGGCGUGGGGAUCAGAGGCGAGUUUCUGUUUAUAAGACUAAGAAGAAAGUGGAUAGCACAAACGAAAACCUUACCUCUUUCACAUUUUCAGAAGAGGCUAAAGAUAUAUUACAGGAUAUGUUUGUGCGCUAUCCUCCAGAUGAUGAUGAGAUGAGCCAAUAUAUUUCUGGAAUGCAUAAUGAGAAAGCUGAUAAGGUACGAGGGAAAAAGAUGACAUUUUUAGUAAACCUUUGCUAAGCAAGUCAGAGAUUGCCAAAAGGGUUGAAGCACUUAAUUCCCGGGCAGAAAAGAACCAAAACCUAAGACAGAUAACUGAAGGAAGGGCCAAGCUUCCAAUUGCAUCAUUUGCAGAUAUCAUUAAAUCCACUGUAGAAUCUCAUCAGGUGGUUCUUAUCUCUGGUGAAACUGGAUGUGGAAAAACUACUCAGGU
Coffea arabica (coffee) is the source of this 706-nucleotide non-coding RNA. The record is from RefSeq and is a predicted model, not a curated record. Lineage: Eukaryota; Viridiplantae; Streptophyta; Magnoliopsida; Gentianales; Rubiaceae.